Molecule: ribosomal RNA, 301 nt
Filed under: uncultured bacterium
Lineage: Bacteria
Description: partial 16S ribosomal RNA
Rfam family: Bacterial small subunit ribosomal RNA
Source: RNAcentral
CAGCAGCCGCGGGAAUACGAAGGGGGCUAGCGUUGCUCGGAAUGACUGGGCGUAAAGGGCGCGUAGGCGGUGGCCAAAGUCAGGCGUGAAAUUCCUGGGCUCAACCUGGGGGCUGCGCUUGAUACUUGGUUGCUUGAGUGGGGAAGAGGGUCGUGGAAUUCCCAGUGUAGAGGUGAAAUUCGUAGAUAUUGGGAAGAACACCGGUGGCGAAGGCGGCGACCUGGUCCUUGACUGACGCUGAGGCGCGAAAGCGUGGGGAGCAAACAGGAUUAGAUACCCCUGUAGUCCCUGUCUCUUAUAC